CGCUAAGCCUAAAUAUUCCCUGGUGACCGAUAGCGGAUAGUACCGUGAGGGAAUGGUGAAAAGUACCGCGGGAGCGGAGUGAAAUAGUACCUGAAACCGUGUGCCUACAAGCCGUGGGAGCGUCGGACAUCAGCUUGCUGGUGUCUCGUGACUGCGUGCCUUUUGAAGAAUGAGCCUGCGAGUUUGCGGUGUGUUGCGAGGUUAACCCGGGUGGGGUAGCCGUAGCGAAAGCGAGUCCGAACAGGGCGAUUUUAGUAGCACGCUCAAGACC
RNAcentral lists this ribosomal RNA (271 nucleotides) under Streptomyces sp. WAC02707. RNAcentral describes it as "partial 23S ribosomal RNA". It matches the Rfam family "Bacterial large subunit ribosomal RNA", at positions 458 to 715 of the family's 2925-position model. The record is from RNAcentral. Lineage: Bacteria; Bacillati; Actinomycetota; Actinomycetes; Kitasatosporales; Streptomycetaceae.